This 1166-nucleotide long non-coding RNA is filed under the name Olea europaea subsp. europaea. Lineage: Eukaryota; Viridiplantae; Streptophyta; Magnoliopsida; Lamiales; Oleaceae. The record is from RNAcentral.
AAAGAAAUGGAACCUUUCAGAAGAAAUAAAUCACAAGAAUCUCGCCCGAUCUAAAUUUGUGAAGACAUGCCAAAAAAUUGAUUCCUCGGAGCCACUAUAUGCAAAAAGUAUAUGUACGGAACCGAAUUCUACAAAAUCCACUAGUAAUAAAUAACAAUAUUGCAAAUAAUAAAAAUUGAAGGAUACCUCGAGGUUCAUUUUUCUCUUCCCCUUUAGCAUCACUUCCCUUUUCCUCCUCCAUCACCUCCGGCUUCAACUCCUGUUUUUUCACCUCUUUAGCCAAUGGUGGAUCCUCCUUCAUUUUCUUUUCAGCACUUACAAUUUGUUCACGCUUCAAUUCUUUCCUCUUCUUCGCCUGGACUUCCACUUUCUCCUUCACCAUUCCAACCACAGCACUCACAUCCUUGAUCAAGAAAUCACUCUUGAAUAAAUCGCUCUCUCGCGCCACAAACUCAAAAGCCUUCUCCAGAAAUCCUAAAGGGUUUGACGGAUCGAACGCUGCUGUAAACGGCUUGUUUGACGUCGUCUGCGUCUGGUGUUCUUCUUCGUAGUCUGAGAGAAUCGCCAUACAAGCAAUUCAAAUCAACAAUUUAGGCUGAAAUUCGGAAUUAGGGUUUUGCAGCGCAGUUCUAGAAUUUUUCAUUCAAGUUUUAUUUUAUUUUUUAUUUUUUUAGGGGGUUUUUGGGGGAUCUAGUUGAGUCACUUGAGUGAAUUUAUAGCCAACAUCAAAUAAGUGCGGAUUUCAAAAAUAUAUUGUUCAUCAACAAAUCCCUUUUCACCGUGUAAACCUCCUUAGCCCUAUUCUAAACGGACAGGCUCAAUGAUAACAUUUGGUGACGGGAUUUUAGAAAAAGGAGGGAAAGUUUAGAAAUGAAUACGACCUGGUUGACUUAUCCAAAUGAAAUUCUUACACUACUCCCCCAAAUUGAUUGAAAAUCAUUACAUCUCUAAAUCCUGACCAUUAACGCUCAACAACGGUCACACCGAUCUCGUCAAAUUGCGGCCAAUCCACAUGAGCCCAUCCUCUCCUCAUUCUUCAUCUAUGCCUUAUUCUCGCGUUCAAACCAUUUCCAACCAGACACAAUAAAGGCCAUUACACAUAGCGAAGAAGAGAGAAGCUCCACUUCCCCAAAUCCCUGAAGGUAUCAUCACUCCUAUGGCUUGAC